RNAcentral lists this long non-coding RNA (395 nucleotides) under Bos indicus x Bos taurus (hybrid cattle). RNAcentral describes it as "lncRNA (ENSBIXG00005013627.1)". Lineage: Eukaryota; Metazoa; Chordata; Mammalia; Artiodactyla; Bovidae. The record is from RNAcentral.
ACAACCAUAUAUAUCAUAUUAGUUCCUUGUUAUAGAACUUUUUUAUAUUUUUCUGUUUUAGUAACUGAAAUUCCCUGGUAGCUCAGCUGGUAAAGAAUCCUGCCAUAAUGCAGAAGACCCUGGUUUGAUUCCUGGGUCAGGAAGAUCCACUGGAGAAAGGACAAGCUACCAACUCCAGUGUUCUAGGUGUCCUAGAUUUAAAGAAGGAAGAUCAGAGGGAUGAUCGUCUGGAGGUGAUCACUGAUGAUGACAAAGAGGCUGAGGAAGCAGGGGAUGGCAGAGAUGGCUUCCAUGGUGAGGAUGGCUCUUGAGCACAUAAUGGGGUUUUGAAAUCUUGUCCAGUUAUUUCUUUACCUGGGUACUUGUCUAAGAUUAAAAUUUUCCCUGGGGCCUCU